Molecule: ribosomal RNA, 468 nt
Filed under: uncultured bacterium
Lineage: Bacteria
Description: partial 16S ribosomal RNA
Rfam family: Bacterial small subunit ribosomal RNA
Source: RNAcentral
GACGAACGCUGGCGGCGUGCUUAACACAUGCAAGUCGAACGGAAAGGCCCUGCUCUUGUUGGGUGCUCGAGUGGCGAACGGGUGUGUAACACGUGAGUAACCUGCCCCUGACUUUGGGAUAACUUCAGGAAACUGGGGCUAAUACCGGAUAGGAGCUCCUGCUGCACGGUGGGGGUUGGAAAGUUUCGGCGGUUGGGGAUGGACUCGCGGCUUAUCAGCUUGUUGGGGAGGUAGUUGCUUACCAAGGCUUUGACGGGUAGCCGGCCUGAGAGGGUGACCGGCCACAUUGGGACUGAGAUACGGCCCAGACUCCUACGGGAGGCAGCAGUGGGGAAUAUUGCACAAUGGGCGGAAGCCUGAUGCAGCAACGCCGCGUGCGGGAUGACGGCCUUCGGGUUGUAAACCGCUUUCGCCUGUGACGAAGCGUGAGUGACGGUAAUGGGUAAAGAAGCACCGGCUAACUACGUG